AGUGAACGCUGGCGGUAGGCCUAACACAUGCAAGUCGAACGGCAGCACAGUAAGAGCUUGCUCUUACGGGUGGCGAGUGGCGGACGGGUGAGGAAUACAUCGGAAUCUACUUUUUCGUGGGGGAUAACGUAGGGAAACUUACGCUAAUACCGCAUACGACCUACGGGUGAAAGCAGGGGAUCUUCGGACCUUGCGCGAUUGAAUGAGCCGAUGUCGGAUUAGCUAGUUGGCGGGGUAAAGGCCCACCAAGGCGACGAUCCGUAGCUGGUCUGAGAGGCUGAUCGGCCACACUGGAACUGAGACACGGUCCAGACUCCUACGGGAGGCAGCAGUGGGGAAUAUUGGGCAAUGGGCGCAAGCCUGAUCCAGCCAUACCGCGUGGGUGAAGAAGGCCUUCGGGUUGUAAAGCCCUUUUGUUGGGAAAGAAAAGCAGCAGGUUAAUACCCCGCUGUUCUGACGGUACCCAAAGAAUAAGCACCGGCUAACUUCGUG
This 492-nucleotide ribosomal RNA is filed under the name uncultured bacterium. RNAcentral describes it as "partial 16S ribosomal RNA". It matches the Rfam family "Bacterial small subunit ribosomal RNA", at positions 29 to 507 of the family's 1533-position model. The record is from RNAcentral.